GACGAACGCUGGCGGCGUGCCUAAUACAUGCAAGUAGAACGCUGAAGGAGGAGCUUGCUUCUCUGGAUGAGUUGCGAACGGGUGAGUAACGCGUAGGUAACCUGCCUGGUAGCGGGGGAUAACUAUUGGAAACGAUAGCUAAUACCGCAUAAUAGUAGAUGUUGCAUGACAUUUGCUUAAAAGGUGCAAUUGCAUCACUACCAGAUGGACCUGCGUUGUAUUAGCUAGUUGGUGGGGUAACGGCUCACCAAGGCGACGAUACAUAGCCGACCUGAGAGGGUGAUCGGCCACACUGGGACUGAGACACGGCCCAGACUCCUACGGGGGGCAGCAGUAGGGAAUCUUCGGCAAUGGACGGAAGUCUGACCGAGCAACGCCGCGUGAGUGAAGAAGGUUUUCGGAUCGUAAAGCUCUGUUGUAAGAGAAGAACGAGUGUGAGAGUGGAAAGUUCACACUGUGACGGUAUCUUACCAGAAAGGGACGGCUAACUACGUG
RNAcentral lists this ribosomal RNA (495 nucleotides) under uncultured bacterium. RNAcentral describes it as "partial 16S ribosomal RNA". It matches the Rfam family "Bacterial small subunit ribosomal RNA", at positions 28 to 507 of the family's 1533-position model. The record is from RNAcentral.